RNAcentral lists this long non-coding RNA (1013 nucleotides) under Medicago truncatula (barrel medic). Its description in RNAcentral is "lncRNA gene39918". Lineage: Eukaryota; Viridiplantae; Streptophyta; Magnoliopsida; Fabales; Fabaceae. The record is from RNAcentral.
GCGCAUCAUCCCAUCCCAAUCCUCAUCUGCAGCAAAGUAACGGAUACAUAUUUUCAUAUUUUUCUCCCCAAGCCACAAUAUUUUCUGCACUCUUCAACAAACCCUAAAGUCCCAAAUUCCUCACUAUAAAUAACAACCUGCACACACACAAACAGGGGGCCGGAAUUCACAAAGAAAUAACAAUUUUCACAAAUAAAACCUGCAAUUUUCUAAACGCACAAAAACCCCAGAGGCCGGAAAUUCACCGGUCAAAAUCCUAGCCUCAAUAAUUCAUCAAAACCUGCAUUUUUUCGACCAGCCAAAACACACAAAUUUACUAACAUCAAUAUCCUACAACAAUUUUACACGAACAAUUCACCCACAACCUGCAAAAAUCACCAAAACCCAGCAAACAUUUUUCAAACCAAACAAUCAAUUUUUCAUUCCAAUCAAAAACCAGUAACCAAUUCACAACACAAUCACACAUCAAUCGCACAAACAGCAACCAGAAUCGAGUCCAUGCAACAGCCAUCAUACCGUCACCCAUAUAUCCAACAACAAACCUUUACAAAACCGCACAAAAAACAACAACAACGAAGCUGAUCCAGAACCAGCAGGAACACACGACAGACGGGCAAAAGGACGGGAUUCGUACACAAACAAGUCUAAAGGGCCUGAACCCGUCGCAACAGAUCAACCACAAAGGACCGACAACAACAAAUCGGCUCAAAAGGAACUGGAAUAAAGUGCAGAGAAAGAAAAAGAUAUAAUCUUCAAAUGAUUAUAUUUUGAUUCCCGUGAUCCCUCCAGAGUAUUACCUCAAGGAUCUAGCUCCUCCAGAGUCUUGUCUCAAGAUCUACUUCUAUAAAAAAAAAAUAAGUUUUUAUAGGAACGAAAUACUUAGUAGUAUUUAACUUCAAUAUUCAUUGAUUACAAAUGAGAAACGAGGCUCUUAUUUAUAGUGAAAAGGGCUCACAAAUUGUUCACAUGUUCCUUUCUCGACAGCUAAUAAAGAUAAACACCUAAAGAAAAAG